GCGGGCGUAGCAAUACGUCAGCGGCAGACGGGUGAGUAACGCGUGGGAACGUACCUUUUGGUUCGGAACAACACAGGGAAACUUGUGCUAAUACCGGAUAAGCCCUUACGGGGAAAGAUUUAUCGCCGAAAGAUCGGCCCGCGUCUGAUUAGCUAGUUGGUGAGGUAACGGCUCACCAAGGCGACGAUCAGUAGCUGGUCUGAGAGGAUGAUCAGCCACAUUGGGACUGAGACACGGCCCAAACUCCUUCGGGAGGCAGCAGUGGGGAAUAUUGGACAAUGGGCGCAAGCCUGAUCCAGCCAUGCCGCGUGAGUGAUGAAGGCCCUAGGG
RNAcentral lists this ribosomal RNA (330 nucleotides) under uncultured bacterium. RNAcentral describes it as "bacterial SSU rRNA". It matches the Rfam family "Bacterial small subunit ribosomal RNA", at positions 66 to 422 of the family's 1533-position model. The record is from RNAcentral.